Molecule: ribosomal RNA, 411 nt
Filed under: Verrucomicrobiota bacterium
Lineage: Bacteria; Pseudomonadati; Verrucomicrobiota
Description: Verrucomicrobia bacterium partial 16S ribosomal RNA
Rfam family: Bacterial small subunit ribosomal RNA
Source: RNAcentral
UGGGGAAUAUUGCACAAUGGACGGAAGUCUGAUGCAGCGACGCCGCGUGGGGGAUGAAGGCUUUCGGGUUGUAAACUCCUUUCAGUACAGACGAAGCUUUAUUGUGACGGUAUGUGCAGAAGAAGCGCCUGCUAACUACGUGCCAGCAGCCGCGGUAAUACGUAGGGCGCGAGCGUUGUCCGGAAUUAUUGGGCGUAAAUAGCUCGUAGGCGGUUUGUCGCGUCUGCUGUGAAAGACCGGGGCUUAACUCCGGGGCUGCAGUGGGUACGGGAAGGCUGGAGUGCGGUAGGGGUAAGGGGAAUUCCUGGUGUAGCGGUGGAAUGCGCAGAUAUCAGGAGGAACACCGAUGGCGAAGGCAGGUUACUGGGCCGUAACUGACGCUGAGGAGCGAAAGCAUGGGGAGCGAACAGG